GGAAGGUGCAAGCGUUAAUCGGAAUUACUGGGGCGUAAAGCGCGCGUAGGCGGCUAGAUAAGUCGGGUGUGAAAGCCCUGGGGCUCAACCUGGGGAACUGCAUUCGAUACUGUCUAGCUAGAGUGUGGUAGAGGGAGGCGGAAUUCCGCAUGUAGCGGUGAAAUGCGUAGAGAUGCGGAGGAACACCAAUGGCGAAGGCAGCCUUCUGGACCAACACUGACGCUGAGGCGCGAAAGCGUGGGGAGCAAACAGGAUUAGAUACCCUGGUAGUCCACGCCGUAAACGAUGUCAACUAGCCGUUGGGAGCAAUUUGGUUCUUGGUGGCGCAGCUAACGCGAUAAGUUGACCGCCUGGGGAGUACGGUCGCAAGAUUA
This 374-nucleotide ribosomal RNA is filed under the name uncultured organism. Its description in RNAcentral is "partial 16S ribosomal RNA". It matches the Rfam family "Bacterial small subunit ribosomal RNA", at positions 527 to 896 of the family's 1533-position model. The record is from RNAcentral.